RNAcentral lists this ribosomal RNA (463 nucleotides) under uncultured bacterium. RNAcentral describes it as "partial 16S ribosomal RNA". It matches the Rfam family "Bacterial small subunit ribosomal RNA", at positions 28 to 507 of the family's 1533-position model. The record is from RNAcentral.
GAUGAACGCUGACAGCAUGCUUAACACAUGCAAGUCGAUGGGGAAGUGGUGCUUGCACCAUGGUAACCAUGGCGGACGGGUGAGUAACGCGUAAGGAACUUGCCUGCGGGACUGGGAUAACAGCAGGAAACUGCUGAUAAUACCGGAUAAGGUCAUUAAGCUGCAUAGCUUAGUGAUGAAAGGAGACGCCUGCGGAGAGCCUUGCGUCCUAUUAGCUAGUUGGAGGGGUAACGGCCCACCAAGGCGAAGAUAGGUAGCCGGCCUGAGAGGGUGGACGGCCACAAGGGGACUGAGAUACGGCCCUUACUCCUACGGGAGGCAGCAGUGGGGAAUAUUGGACAAUGGGGGCAACCCUGAUCCAGCAAUUCUGUGUGCACGAAGACGGUUUUCGGAUUGUAAAGUGCUUUCAGCAGGGAAGAAGGAAGUGACGGUACCUGCAGAAGAAGCGACGGCUAAAUACGUG